Molecule: ribosomal RNA, 469 nt
Filed under: uncultured Aeromonadaceae bacterium
Lineage: Bacteria; Pseudomonadati; Pseudomonadota; Gammaproteobacteria; Aeromonadales; Aeromonadaceae
Description: bacterial SSU rRNA
Rfam family: Bacterial small subunit ribosomal RNA
Source: RNAcentral
UCCUACGGGUGGCAGCAGUGGGGAAUAUUGCACAAUGGGGGAAACCCUGAUGCAGCCAUGCCGCGUGUGUGAAGAAGGCCUUCGGGUUGUAAAGCACUUUCAGCGAGGAGGAAAGGUGGCUAGCUAAUACCUAGUUGCUGUGACGUUACUCGCAGAAGAAGCACCGGCUAACUCCGUGCCAGCAGCCGCGGUAAUACGGAGGGUGCAAGCGUUAAUCGGAAUUACUGGGCGUAAAGCGCACGCAGGCGGUUAGAUAAGUCAGAUGUGAAAGCCCCGGGCUCAACCUGGGAACUGCAUUUGAAACUGUCUGACUAGAGUCUUGUAGAGGGGGGUAGAAUUCCAGGUGUAGCGGUGAAAUGCGUAGAGAUCUGGAGGAAUACCGGUGGCGAAGGCGGCCCCCUGGACAAAGACUGACGCUCAGGUGCGAAAGCGUGGGGAGCAAACAGGAUUAGAUACCCCAGUAGUCGGG